This is a long non-coding RNA of Panthera uncia (snow leopard), 2871 nucleotides long. RefSeq lists it as uncharacterized. Lineage: Eukaryota; Metazoa; Chordata; Mammalia; Carnivora; Felidae. The record is from RefSeq and is a predicted model, not a curated record. The transcript has 2 exons.
GGCAGCUGGCGGGCAGGAGCCGUGCUGACGCCGGCGGCGGCGGCGGCGUCGGCGGCGGCCCGGGCGCAGGGCGCUGGGCACCCGGCGCAAGUCAGGUCGCCGCGCGACUAGGGCAGUCCGCGUCGCCAUGGUCCGCUCCCCGAGUUCGAAGCCCGUGGCCGAGGAGUCUGCACAAACUGCAUUCAUUGGCAGAAGAUGCGAUGGAAACCAUCAGUGUUAGGGGGUUGAUGACCUGGAACUUUGACAGAGUGUGUGUGAUAGAUCGAAGAGGCUCAACAUGUUUCAAAUGAAGGACUCUGCACCUAGAAGUGAGCACCAGAUCUGGGCAGAUAGAGUUUCCCAGGGAGCCUGGCUGCACCCUGGCCUGCGGUGUCUGUAAAACUGCCACAAAACUCAGGACAAGCUGCUUUUUCCGAAAGAGAAAGCAAGAGAUGAUUUUAAGUAUCCAAAUUGCUUUGAAAUGAAGUCUGUACUGAUAACUGAGAGAAGAGGGGCUUAUAGGUUUCACGGAGUCGCAAAGGUUUUCGUAGCCUCUGCUUUCAUCUGCUUGGAAACGCCAGCCUGUUUUUCACCUCGGUCGUGUGUGGAGGUUAAGAAAGUGGGCAUUAGCGCUCAGUCUCCUGGGUUUGUGUUCUGACUCUGCUGCUCUUAGCCGGGCAGGUUAUUUGACCUCACUUUGCCUGUUUCUUCUUUAAAGUGGGGAUAGUCACGGUACCUACUUGUUAAAUUGAUGAGGAUUACAAGUGGGAUUAUCCAGAUAAGGUAUUUAUCAUAGGCCUUGGGAUUAUGUAUGAUAUGUCUGACCAUCACCAGUAUUUUCCAGGGCACCAUAGGCUUCACGAGGACAGGAGCUGUUGCCUUCCUCACUGCUGUAACCCCAAGUCCUAGUACAGUGCCUGCCUGGUACACAGUAAUCUCUGCGUUUGUUGGGUAAAUGAAUAAUGUACUUCAGCAGGAAGGUGGUCUUUCCUUUUCAGCUCCCCAUUGGAGGUGCAUUAGUCCCGUUUUUUUGUCAAGAGCUUCAAUCCACCCAGACCCUGACCCUAAUUUUUCCUCCCUUGUUUGAUCGUUCGCACCCGGCUUCCCAAGAUAGAAACCUAGAUUCCCCUCAAUUCUUCCCUUAUUUUCUUGGGCCUGGGCAUUUAGGCAUCCACAGAGCUCAGCCAUUUCCAUUCCUAAGUGUCUCCACUACUUCUGCGAGAGUUGAGCUGCCUUGGCUCUUCUCAUUUAUAGCUUUUAGUUAUUGCUGUGGCUUCCAAACUGUUGUGUUCCUCCUCCUCUUUCUCUGCCGCCUCCCCCAUAGUCCCACUGGAAUUUCCCUGCUAGAUACGAUCCACUUUUGCUCACAAAUCACUUCUUAGCCUAACGGACGACACUCUUCCUACUAUGGCCCUUGAAAACUUUGCAGGAUCAUCUCUAGAGACUGACCCCACCCUCCCUAAGCUUUAACUGGAUGUUCUCUCAAGUCUGAAUACAUGAGUGUGUGUGUGUGUGUGUGUGUGUGUGUGUGUGUGUGUGUGUGUGUUUCCAUUGGCUAGUCGAAAUACUUUUUCUCCCCUUGGAGCCCUCAUCUUCCUCAAGCUUCAGAGCCCCAUAGCCUGUUAAUCCUCCUCAUCAAGGCUAGUGCUCUUCCCUCUGAGCUCCAAUAAAGCUGUGUGGUGACUGCUGUGGCAUCUACCCAGUGGACUCUCUGAUCUGGCUACUUGUUUGUAGCUCUUGUUCCACUGUGGCAUCCUUUAGGACAAAUGCCCAAGGAGUAUGCAUUUUAGGAAGAAGGGAGCAAAGCUGCUUUGGUAAGGCGACUCAUCUGGAAGCCCUGCUCUUUCCUAUCUUGUCAACAACAUUUCUUCUGCUUCAGAGAUCACUGGCUCGGUUCUCUGUUUUCCAAUCCCUCUUUUCCCUCCACCGGCUUCUUUUCGUUCAUUGAAAAGUGCUAUGGGAGCUCCUGGGUGGCUCAUUGGGUCAGCUCAGGUCCUGAUCUCACCUUCAAGGGUUCGAGCCCCACAUCAGGCUCUGUGCUGACAGCUCGGAGCCAGGAACCUGCUUCGGAUUCUGUGUCUCCCUCUCUGUCUCUGCCCCUCCCCUGCUCACGGUCUGUCUCUGUGUCUCUCAAAAAUAAAAUAGAACAUUAAAAGAAAAGAAAAAAGAAAAGUGCUAUGAAGGAGACAGAAAAUAAAGUCCUUCAUAACUCUGCCCUCACAAAACAGACAAACAGUGAGAGAACAGCCCUGGCCAAGGCAUUGUAAUAAAACAAACUAGAAAACACAAACAAAAAUAACCAAAAGCCAAACCAAAACCAAAUGGAGAACGAAUCACCUCUUUUCUGUAGCCAAAUCCAUUGCCUUUCAAAACCCGAACAUUGGGUAUUGAAGUUUUUAGAGCAGAGAAUGAGUCACAGACAUUUAAAAAUCAAUUCUGAGAAACUGAAAAUCUCUUUCAUGAACCUUUAAGUUUGAUCACUUAACUUACAUUUGCAGCCCCCCAAUUUUAAGUGAUAUACCUUCUUUAAGACAUUUAAAAAAAUUCUAAACUUUAAAGAUGUUCAAAAAGAAAUUCUAAACCUUAAAGAUGUCUGAACUGCCAGCAUUUGUUAAAUUCGACUUUUCAGUGUUUUCAUCUUGUUCUGAGAUGUUAAGAAGAUACAAAAAUAAACCAAAAAAAAAUCCCCCUCUUUUUAGGUUGUUUCUGUUUAAGUACAGAGUAAUAUCUUUUAAGAGUAGGAUACAUAGUAGUAACAUUUAACAAAAAAAUUAGGGUCUAACAUCUUUUACCAUCUUUGACUAGCAUGAUUGUUUUUAAGGCCACAAGGAGACUCUUCUGAUACCACGUGCAUAAAAUUAGCAUUUAAAAGUAAAAGAACUAGCAAAACAA